ACGGGUGAGUAAUGUCUGGGAAACUGCCUGAUGGAGGGGGAUAACUACUGGAAACGGUAGCUAAUACCGCAUAACGUCGCAAGACCAAAGAGGGGGACCUUCGGGCCUCUUGCCAUCAGAUGUGCCCAGAUGGGAUUAGCUAGUAGGUGGGGUAACGGCUCACCUAGGCGACGAUCCCUAGCUGGUCUGAGAGGAUGACCAGCCACACUGGAACUGAGACACGGUCCAGACUCCUACGGGAGGCAGCAGUGGGGAAUAUUGCACAAUGGGCGCAAGCCUGAUGCAGCCAUGCCGCGUGUAUGAAGAAGGCCUUCGGGUUGUAAAGUACUUUCAGCGAGGAGGAAGGCGAUACGGUUAAUAACCGUGUCGAUUGACGUUACUCGCAGAAGAAGCACCGGCUAACUCCGUGCCAGCAGCCGCGGUAAUACGGAGGGUGCAAGCGUUAAUCGGAAUUACUGGGCGUAAAGCGCACGCAGGCGGUCUGUCAAGUCGGAUGUGAAAUCCCCGGGCUCAACCUGGGAACUGCAUUCGAAACUGGCAGGCUUGAAUCUUGUAGAGGGGGGUAGAAUUCCAGGUGUAGCG
RNAcentral lists this ribosomal RNA (582 nucleotides) under uncultured bacterium. RNAcentral describes it as "bacterial SSU rRNA". It matches the Rfam family "Bacterial small subunit ribosomal RNA", at positions 102 to 680 of the family's 1533-position model. The record is from RNAcentral.